GAUGAACGCUGGCGGCGUGCCUAAUACAUGCCAGUCGAGCGAACGGACGAGAAGCUUGCUUCUCUGAUGUUAGCGGCGGACGGGUGAGUAACACGUGGAUAACCUACCUAUAAGACUGGGAUAACUUCGGGAAACCGGAGCUAAUACCGGAUAAUAUUUUGAACCGCAUGGUUCAAAAGUGAAAGACGGUCUUGCUGUCACUUAUAGAUGGAUCCGCGCUGCAUUAGCUAGUUGGUAAGGUAACGGCUUACCAAGGCAACGAUGCAUAGCCGACCUGAGAGGGUGAUCGGCCACACGGGAACUGAGACACGGUCCAGACUACUACGGGAGGCAGCAGUAGGGAAUCGUCCGCAAUGGGCGAAAGCCUGACGGAGCAACGCCGCGUGAGUGAUGAAGGUCUUCGGAUCGUAAAACUCUGUUAUUAGGGAAGAACAUAUGUGUAAGUAACUGUGCACAUCUUGACGGUACCUAAUCAGAAAGCCACGGCUAACUACGUG
RNAcentral lists this ribosomal RNA (497 nucleotides) under uncultured bacterium. Its description in RNAcentral is "partial 16S ribosomal RNA". It matches the Rfam family "Bacterial small subunit ribosomal RNA", at positions 28 to 507 of the family's 1533-position model. The record is from RNAcentral.